GCUCUUGAAAGAUAAUAGUAAUCUAUU
This 27-nucleotide transfer RNA is filed under the name Carcharhinus obscurus (dusky shark). Its description in RNAcentral is "partial tRNA-Leu". The record is from RNAcentral. RNAcentral also lists the same sequence under 1 other name. Lineage: Eukaryota; Metazoa; Chordata; Chondrichthyes; Carcharhiniformes; Carcharhinidae.